Mus musculus (house mouse) is the source of this 2397-nucleotide long non-coding RNA. RefSeq annotates it as predicted gene, 39362. NCBI's taxonomy places the organism in Eukaryota, Metazoa, Chordata, Mammalia, Rodentia, Muridae. The transcript has 3 exons. The record is from RefSeq and is a predicted model, not a curated record.
UUAAACUCUGGACCUCUGGAGCAGCAGCCAGCGCUCUUAACCUCUGAACCAUCAUCUCUCUAGCCUCCAGAACUUUAAUGUUAAAGAUCUUUAGUAGACCACCCAUUCUUUGUUGGGUUGGGGUCUUCUCUCUGUAAAUGGAUAUAACAACAUUGGCAUUCAGUAGUGAUAAAAGCUAACAAUGCCUGUGGCACUGAGACAUGAAAGAUGGAGAAAUAAGGCCUGGAGGUGGCUGCUACACUGAGAGGCAGGUCCCUUGACCCAUCAUUUAUUUCCUAAUCCACACUGUACGUUAGCUGAGGGAAAGAGUGGGGAAAGAAGUGUAAAGGUAGCUGGGAAAGUAGGCAGAGACCAGACUGGUGGAGGAGCUAUGCCUCCCCAGUUCCUGUUACUGUCUUUGGGAGCUGUGUAUCAGUGGGAUUAUUGUAAUGGCAUUAAGAGAGGACCCACAGGCACCAUGUCCUACUGCAGUGUGUACUGACCCACUGUGAGGUUAAAGGAGCCUUCCCUUGAAUUUUUUUCUUUUUUCUUUUUGAUGUUGAGCUCCCUAAAAGAAAGGACAGUAGGGGCUGGAGAGACGGCUCAGUGGUUAGGAGUACCAACUGCUUUUCCAGAGGUCCCGAGUUCAAUUCCCAGCAACCACAUGGUGGCUCACAACCAUCUGUAAUGGGAUCCGAUGCUGUCUUCUAGUAUGUCUGAGGACAGACAGUACUCUCAUAUAUGUAAAAUAAAUAAAAUCUUUUAAAAGAGAAAAAGAACAGUGGUUUUCUCUAAGUAUCCCAUUUGACGUCUCUGAUCUGAGAGCACGUUUUAAGACUCUAAAUACAUACACCUACUCCAUUAUCAAAAUACAGUGUGCUAUCUUGAAUUUCCUUUGGGCUCAUGGAUUCUCUAUCAUUUGCUGACGCUAUUCUCAAAUCUGGGCCCACAAAGAGCGAGGGAAAAGGACACAUCUGAUUUUUGUGCAGUUUGCGUCCUCAUAAUGAAUUAGAAGAAAGGCCUGGUGGUACAGGCUGGAAAUCCCAGUACUCAGGAAGUUGAGGCAGGAGGAUUCUGUCUGAGUUCAGGACCAGUCUGGACAACAGAGACAGAGACAGAGACAGAGACAGAGACUCAGAUUUGUAAGUUUUCAGAGUUAUUUUCUCUCUCCUCCACUGUGGUUAAGAUGAACAAACAAACCCUCCCCGGCUAGGACUGUAUCUCUGCAGUAGGACAGGUGCUUAGCAGCAGGGUGUGGUGCCUUGCACCUGUAGGUCCCUGUUUGGGAAACUAGAUAAGAGAACUGCCGUGAGCUUGAGCUUAGCCUAAGCUAUCCAGUGAGAUGGAGGCCAGCCCAGCUUAUAUAGUGCUUUCUAGACCAGGCAAGCCUUGCUACAGAGUGUGACCCCGUCUCUAGCUCCUCCUCUUCCCCCUCACAGAUGUGCUUGGCACAUCUGAAGCCUUGGACUCAAUCCCCCAGCACCGAGGCUUCUAAACAGCCCUCAGAUUCUGGUGAAGCUGUAGGGCAGCGUCUGUAGCACCGCAUCUUGCCAACACCACCUAUGUCCGUACAGCCACGGAGCAGAGGUCCUAGCCAGAGCUGAGCUGGGCCUUAGUGGAGAGGCACAGUCUUUUUCAGUGUGCCUGUCAAGAUUCCUGAGAAGCACCAGGAAUGGUGGGGCACACUUUUAACCCCAGCACUCUGGAGGAAAAGACUGAGAUAUCUAGGUAGUGCCACCGCUGCUGAUUCCUGUUUGUUAUCCUGACUCUAGCGAACUGGACUGCUGUGCAUUUGUGAAGUGUUUGCAAGUGGGUAGAGCUGCCGCUGCUAACCUGUGAACUGAACUGCUGAUUUCCAGACAUCACAGACAGGAGUUGCUUCAAAGAACCUUUCUGAACAGGUCCACUUCCCUCAUAUCCUUUGUUUUCCACUAUCACCGGUGGGUGAUGGGCUACAAGGAGGGUUAAAGUGAUUAAGAACCAUCAUUAAAAAUAGGUGUUUGAAAAAAUUAAAAUUACAACUAGCCUGUGUAACACAAAUGUUGUUUUCCUUGUUAUAUAUUGCAAUACUGCUUUGCAAAAUGACUGCACAUUUAGAUUACCUAUGGUUACAUUAAGCAUGGGCAUGCCAAUUUCACCAAAAUGUUUCUAGCAUUGGGUCCUACCACUGACAUUUUUUUUUUCUUUUUCUCUGCUGGUAAUCUUUAACGAGUAUGUUUUAAGCAUCUCCUUUCUGAAAGACAUCAUGUUAGAUGUUUUUUAAGGUGGCAGAGCAGGCAAUCCAGAUUUUUACUCUAGUGGGUCGAGUGAUCAUGAAUAGGUAACACACACACUGAGGCAGGAAACAGCGUGCUAGGUUAGGGGUAUGUCGCACACCAAGCUACAAUAACAAAAUAUAGGGUUUCUCCUGAUUUUCUU